AAUGAACGCUGGCGGCGUGCCUAACACAUGCAAGUCGGAUGUGCCGCAAGGUGCAUGGCAGACGGGUGAGUAACGCGUGGAAAACCUACCUCUUUGUGGGGAAUAACGCUCCGAAAGGAGUGGUAAUACCGCAUGAGACCACGGACUGGGAUGUCCAUGGUGAAACCUGGGGACCGCAAGGCCUGGGGCAAGGAGAGGGUUCUGCGUCUGAUUAGCUAGUUGGUGGGGUAAUGGCCUACCAAGGCGACGAUCAGUAGCCGGCCUGAGAGGGUGAUCGGCCACAUUGGAACUGAGACACGGUCCAAACUCCUACGGGAGGCAGCAGUGGGGAAUUUUGCGCAAUGGGCGAAAGCCUGACGCAGCAACGCCGCGUGGGUGAUGAAGGUCUUCGGAUCGUAAAACCCUGUCGUCAGGGACGAAGGUUGCGGGUUGAAUAUUCCUGCAACUUGACGGUACCUGGAGAGGAAGCCCCGGCUAACUCUGUGCCAGCAGCCGCGGUAAUACAGAGGGGGCAAGCGUUAUUCGGAAUUAUUGGGCGUAAAGGGCGCGUAGGCGGUGUUUUAAGUGAGAUGUGCAAUCCCCGAGCUUAACUUGGGAACUGCAUCUCAGACUGGAACGCUAGAGUACUGGAGAGGGUGGUAGAAUUCCACGUGUAGCGGUGAAAUGCGUAGAGAUGUGGAGGAAUACCAGUGGCGAAGGCGGCCACCAGGACAGUAACUGACGCUGAGGCGCGAAAGUGUGGGUAGCAAACAGGAUUAGAUACCCUGGUAGUCCACGCUGUAAACGAUGAACACUUGGUGUGGCGGGAGUUGACCCCUGCCGUGCCGUAGCUAACGCGAUAAGUGUUCCGCCUGGGGAGUACGGUCGCAAGGCUG
Molecule: ribosomal RNA, 875 nt
Filed under: uncultured bacterium
Lineage: Bacteria
Description: bacterial SSU rRNA
Rfam family: Bacterial small subunit ribosomal RNA
Source: RNAcentral